AUGGGGACAUGGGGACACUGGGGACAUGGGGACAUGGGGACACCAGUACAGGGACAUGGGGACAUUGGGGACAUGGGCACAUUGGGGACAUGGGGACACCAUACAGGGACAUGGGGACCUUGGGGACAUGGGGACACCAGUACAGGGACAUGGGGACAUUGGGGACACCAGUACAGGGACAUGGGGACAUUGGGGACAUGGGGAUACCAGUACAGGGACAUGGGGACACUGGGGACAUGGGGACAUGGGGACACCAGUACAGGGACAUGGGGACAUUGGGGACAUGGGCACAUUGGGGACAUGAGGACAUGGGGACACCAGUACAGGGACAUGGGGACAUGGGGACACCAGUACAGGGACAUGGGGACAUUGGGGACAUGGGCACAUUGGGGACAUGAGGACAUGGGGACACCAGUACAGGGACAUGGGGACACCAGUACAGGGACAUGGGGACAUGGGGACACUGGGGACAUGGGGACAUGGGGACACCAGUACAGGGACAUGGGGACAUUGGGGACACCAGUACGGGGAUGUGGGAACACUGGGAACACUGGGAACAUUGGGGACAUGGGGACAUGGGGACAUUGGGGACAUUGGGGACAUGGGGAUACCAGUACAGGAACAUGGGGACAUGGGGACACCAGUACAGGGGAUGUGGGAACACUGGGAACAUUGGGGACAUGGGGACACUGGGGACAUGGGGACAUUGGGGACACCAGUACAGGGACAUGGGUACACUGGGGACAUUGGGGACAUGGGGACAUUGGGGACACCAGUAUGGGGAAGUGGGGACAUGGGGACAUGAGGACAUGGGAACACCAGUACAGGGACAUGGGGACAUUGGGGGCACCCGUACAGGGACAUGGGCACAUUGGGCACAUUGGGGACAUGGGGACAUUGGGGACAUGGGGACAUUGGGGACAUUGGGGACAUGGGGACAUUGGGGACAUGGGGACAUGGGGACAUUGGGGACAUGGGGACAUUGGGGACAUGGGGACAUUGGGGACAUGGGGACAUGGGGACAUUGGGGAUAUGGGGACAUUGGGGACAUGGGGACAUGGGGAGCAUCCCGGAGCAUCCCGGAGCAUCCCGGGCCGGCCGCGCGUUCCCGGGUGGCACGGCCGCGCCGAGCAAACAGGAAACACUCGGCCUUUGUUCAUCCCGGCCGGGCCGCGCGUUCAAUAUUUAUUUACCCGUGAGCGGAGCUUGGCGCCGGGAGCCGCGGGAGGGACGCCCCGAGGCACGGCCGGAGGCUCCGCGGGCACCGGGCUCACGGAGGUGAGCGGGGCUUCGGGCGGGGGGUGUCGGGCUGGAGGGACGGUCACCCCUUGGCAGCCCUGCCCUUGUCACCCCCGGGCAUUUCCAGCAGGAUCAGCCCCUGUCCCCAGCCUGUGGCCUCGCCACCGCGUCCCCAGCUGGCACCAAGGAGCUCCCUCAUUGCUACGGCACUGGGCUGGGAGCUGCGUCCCCCAGGGCUGUGGAGGGGGGAGGACAGCCUGUCCCCUGUGUCCCCCGUGUCCCUCGUGUCCCCUGUGUGUGCCUCCGGUGUCCCCGGUGUCCCCUCUGUGUGUCCCCUGUGUGUGUCCCCGGUGUCCCCGGAGUCCCCUGUGUGUGUCCCCGGUGUGUGUCCCCUGA
This is a long non-coding RNA of Taeniopygia guttata (zebra finch), 1635 nucleotides long. NCBI's taxonomy places the organism in Eukaryota, Metazoa, Chordata, Aves, Passeriformes, Estrildidae. The record is from Ensembl.